GGUGUAGGCGGCUUGUUAAGUCGGAUGUGAAAUCUCCCGGCUAAACUGGGAGGGGUCAUUCGAUACUGGCAGGCUGGAGUGCAGCAGAGGAAAGCGGAAUUCCCGGUGUAGUGGUGAAAUGCGUAGAUAUCGGGAGGAACACUAGUGGCGAAGGCGGCUUUCUGGGCUGUUACUGACGCUGAGGUCCGAAGGCGUGGGGAGCAAACAGGAUCAGAUACCCUGGUAGUCCACGCAGUAAACUAUGGACACUAGGUAUGGGGAGUAUCGACCCUCUCCGUGCCGAAGCUAACGCUUUAAGUGUCCCGCCUGGGGAGUACGGUCGCAAGACUAAA
This 332-nucleotide ribosomal RNA is filed under the name uncultured bacterium. Its description in RNAcentral is "bacterial SSU rRNA". It matches the Rfam family "Bacterial small subunit ribosomal RNA", at positions 568 to 898 of the family's 1533-position model. The record is from RNAcentral.